Molecule: long non-coding RNA, 267 nt
Filed under: Carica papaya (papaya)
Lineage: Eukaryota; Viridiplantae; Streptophyta; Magnoliopsida; Brassicales; Caricaceae
Description: long non-coding RNA (CPAP_LNC007313)
Source: RNAcentral
AAGCUCUUGCCUUGACAAGGUCUUCCACAUAUAUAAACGACACCUAGGGGACACUUCACUUGGCGAAGGGCAUCAAUAGCUUAUGAGUCUGUCUUGAACUUCUCACAUUCAUCAGUAUACACCAGUCGUAUCGGUCUCCUUGAAUUCUACUCGUUUAAAGAACAUGAAGAGGAUCCUACAUCAACUAACUUUUGCAUCGUCAUCUUCUUUCUCUUUUCACUUUUGAUUGUUUUGCUUUAGAGUAGCUUAAAACUUCCGUCUGUAUUG